AAGGAAGUCUGUAAACCAGACCUGAAACAGCUACUUUGUUUUAUUUCCAUUUUGGCUUUGAGCCUGGUAAUCCAUUUGUCAAAUUUGCAAUGGAGAACAGCACUGCCUCUCUCCUCAUAACACUCAGUAAACAGCAGCUCUGUGGGUGGAAGCACCUCGUUGAUGAGAAAGGAGAGGCCAGUCUGGAGAACUGCAAGAUUGACUCCAGUUGACAGGAAGCAUCACAUGGCUCUAACAGCAGAAAACCACUGACACCAGCAAGCUAUAAGACCACAGGAGGCUAAAAUUACCAAUAAAAUGCUUUAUGUGUUUAAUCUCAAAAAUAACAGGGGAAAAAUAAAAUAUGUACAGCACAGAAUGUGCAAACGUAUGGUUUCUGUACAAAGAAAUAUACACAAAAACACAAGACUGAGUCAAAGACAUUCAAAAUGACAUUUUAACUGGAUGUAAAAAAUUCAAUGUGAUGACGCCAAGGUUCCUAUGGUUGUUUGAAUCUGUACAGCUAUACAUAAUGAAAUAAAUUAAGAUCUACACAACAAAAAGUGAAAAUUCACACAUUUUGACCCAUGGUUACUAACAACUAUUUUAAAAUUCAAUAAUCAAGUUACCACAAACUGGUCUGAGACCUUAAAACACUGUCCUUUCAAAAGAAAUAAACAAUACUAAAACAGCUGAACUAAGGGUUAGCCUUGGUGUGUUUGCCCACGCCGUCUCAGGUCAUCCUUGAAGUGGUAAGAGAGUCUACAGACAUUACUGACCCAUGCAAGUGUACAGUUUUACGUCUUAUAUCAUGAUUGAAUAUUAAAUGAGAAGGCCUUGAAAUGAUUAUAAGAUGUAGCACAAGCUGAACUAUCUGCAGGAAAAAAGUAAGAACAAGACAUAAAUAAAGUUAGAGUUGAUACGUGUAAACACCAAACUCGAGGGUUCGCAUUCAUAAUCCUUUUCAAACCAAAAUCACUAAAAAGGAAGGAACCACUUUUAGGUACAUAAAAGGUUAACUUUGGUAUUACAAUGAAAAUUGAUAACAUUCAGAAAAAAGCAAAAGCAAAAAGUGCGAGAUAGCAAACAUUUUUCACUAAAUUUGCUCAGCCUUCCACAAAAUAA
Molecule: long non-coding RNA, 1104 nt
Organism: Electrophorus electricus (electric eel)
Lineage: Eukaryota; Metazoa; Chordata; Actinopteri; Gymnotiformes; Gymnotidae
Source: RefSeq, a predicted model, not a curated record